GAUGAACGCUGGCGGCGUGCCUAAUACAUGCAAGUCGAGCGAACAGACGAGGAGCUUGCUCCUCUGACGUUAGCGGCGGACGGGUGAGUAACACGUGGAUAACCUACCUAUAAGACUGGGAUAACUUCGGGAAACCGGAGCUAAUACCGGAUAAUAUAUUGAACCGCAUGGUUCAAUAGUGAAAGACGGUUUUGCUGUCACUUAUAGAUGGAUCCGCGCCGCAUUAGCUAGUUGGUAAGGUAACGGCUUACCAAGGCAACGAGGCGUAGCCGACCUGAGAGGGUGAUCGGCCACACUGGAACUGAGACACGGUCCAGACUCCUACGGGAGGCAGCAGUAGGGAAUCGGCCGCAGUGGGCGAAAGCCUGACGGAGCAACGCCGCGUGAGUGAUGAAGGUCUUCGGAUCGUAAAACUCUGUUAUUAGGGAAGAACAAAUGUGUAAGUAACUAUGCACGUCGUGACGGUACCUAAUCAGAAAGCCACGGCUAACUACGUG
Molecule: ribosomal RNA, 497 nt
Filed under: uncultured bacterium
Lineage: Bacteria
Description: partial 16S ribosomal RNA
Rfam family: Bacterial small subunit ribosomal RNA
Source: RNAcentral